This 380-nucleotide unclassified non-coding RNA is filed under the name uncultured Caryophanales bacterium. RNAcentral's name for it is "uncultured Bacillales bacterium contains 16S-23S intergenic spacer region". Lineage: Bacteria; Bacillati; Bacillota; Bacilli; Caryophanales. The record is from RNAcentral.
UCCGGUUUGUCACCGGCAGUCAUUCUAGAGUGCCCACCCAAAGUGCUGGCAACUAAAAUCAAGGGUUGCGCUCGUUGCGGGACUUAACCCAACAUCUCACGACACGAGCUGACGACAACCAUGCACCACCUGUCACCUCUGUCCCGAAGGCCGCCUCUAUCUCUAGAGGAUUCAGAGGGAUGUCAAGACUUGGUAAGGUUCUUCGCGUUGCUUCGAAUUAAGCCACAUGCUCCGCCGCUUGUGCGGGCCCCCGUCAAUUCCUUUGAGUUUUAGUCUUGCGACCGUACUCCCCAGGCGGAGUGCUUAAUGCGUUAGCUGCGGCACAGAGAGGGUUGAAGACCUCCCCACACCUAGCACUCAACGUUUACGGCUGGGACUAC